UACGUAGGAGGCGAGCGUUGUCCGGAGUUACUGGGCGUAAAGGCACGCAGGCGGUCAUGUAAGUCUGUUCUGACAGCUCCUGGCUCAACCGGGAGAGGCGAACGGAAACUGUAUGACUUGAGGACUUCAGAGGGACACGGAAUUCCGGGUGGAGUGGUGAAAUGCGUAGAGACUCCGGAGGAACACCAAAGGCGAAGGCAGUGUCCUGGGAAGUACCUGGACGCUCAGGUGCGAAAAGCCAGGGGAGCGACGGG
This 254-nucleotide ribosomal RNA is filed under the name uncultured bacterium. Its description in RNAcentral is "partial 16S ribosomal RNA". It matches the Rfam family "Bacterial small subunit ribosomal RNA", at positions 524 to 775 of the family's 1533-position model. The record is from RNAcentral.